RNAcentral lists this ribosomal RNA (1286 nucleotides) under Campylobacter jejuni. RNAcentral's name for it is "partial 23S ribosomal RNA". It matches the Rfam family "Bacterial large subunit ribosomal RNA", at positions 1651 to 2925 of the family's 2925-position model. Lineage: Bacteria; Pseudomonadati; Campylobacterota; Epsilonproteobacteria; Campylobacterales; Campylobacteraceae. The record is from RNAcentral.
AAACCGACACAGGUGGGUGGGAUGAGUAUUCUAAGGCGCGUGGAAGAACUCUCUUUAAGGAACUCUGCAAAAUAGCACCGUAUCUUCGGUAUAAGGUGUGGUUAGCUUCGUACUAGGAUUUACUCCGAAAGCGAAGAAACUUACAACAAAGAGUCCCUCCCGACUGUUUACCAAAAACACAGCACUCUGCUAACUCGUAAGAGGAUGUAUAGGGUGUGACGCCUGCCCGGUGCUCGAAGGUUAAUUGAUGGGGUUAGCAUUAGCGAAGCUCUUGAUCGAAGCCCGAGUAAACGGCGGCCGUAACUAUAACGGUCCUAAGGUAGCGAAAUUCCUUGUCGGUUAAAUACCGACCUGCAUGAAUGGCGUAACGAGAUGGGAGCUGUCUCAAAGAGGGAUCCAGUGAAAUUGUAGUGGAGGUGAAAAUUCCUCCUACCCGCGGCAAGACGGAAAGACCCCGUGGACCUUUACUACAGCUUGACACUGCUACUUGGAUAAGAAUGUGCAGGAUAGGUGGGAGGCUUUGAGUAUAUGACGCCAGUUGUAUAGGAGCCAUUGUUGAGAUACCACUCUUUCUUAUUUGGGUAGCUAACCAGCUUGAGUUAUCCUCAAGUGGGACAAUGUCUGGUGGGUAGUUUGACUGGGGCGGUCGCCUCCCAAAUAAUAACGGAGGCUUACAAAGGUUGGCUCAGAACGGUUGGAAAUCGUUCGUAGAGUAUAAAGGUAUAAGCCAGCUUAACUGCAAGACAUACAAGUCAAGCAGAGACGAAAGUCGGUCUUAGUGAUCCGGUGGUUCUGUGUGGAAGGGCCAUCGCUCAAAGGAUAAAAGGUACCCCGGGGAUAACAGGCUGAUCUCCCCCAAGAGCUCACAUCGACGGGGAGGUUUGGCACCUCGAUGUCGGCUCAUCGCAUCCUGGGGCUGGAGCAGGUCCCAAGGGUAUGGCUGUUCGCCAUUUAAAGCGGUACGCGAGCUGGGUUCAGAACGUCGUGAGACAGUUCGGUCCCUAUCUGCCGUGGGCGUAAGAAGAUUGAAGAGAUUUGACCCUAGUACGAGAGGACCGGGUUGAACAAACCACUGGUGUAGCUGUUGUUCUGCCAAGAGCAUCGCAGCGUAGCUAAGUUUGGAAAGGAUAAACGCUGAAAGCAUCUAAGCGUGAAGCCAACUCUAAGAUGAAUCUUCUCUAAGCUCUCUAGAAGACUACUAGUUUGAUAGGCUGGGUGUGUAAUGGAUGAAAGUCCUUUAGCUGACCAGUACUAAUAGAGCGUUUGGCUUAUCUUUAAUAAAGCAU